UCAAGCCCCUCGCGUGGCGUUACCUCGUGAACCUCCCCAGGGCCGGAAGGCAGCAAGGAUAAGCGAGCUCUGGCGGGUACGCGGGGGGCCCUUUUU
This 96-nucleotide signal recognition particle RNA is filed under the name Hamadaea sp. RNAcentral's name for it is "signal recognition particle sRNA small type". It matches the Rfam family "Bacterial small signal recognition particle RNA". From Rfam's summary of the family: The signal recognition particle (SRP) is a universally conserved ribonucleoprotein involved in the co-translational targeting of proteins to membranes. Archaeal SRP consists of a 7S RNA and homologues of the eukaryotic SRP19 and SRP54 proteins. Lineage: Bacteria; Bacillati; Actinomycetota; Actinomycetes; Micromonosporales; Micromonosporaceae. The record is from RNAcentral.